Molecule: ribosomal RNA, 429 nt
Filed under: Gemmatimonadota bacterium
Lineage: Bacteria; Pseudomonadati; Gemmatimonadota
Description: Gemmatimonadetes bacterium partial 16S ribosomal RNA
Rfam family: Bacterial small subunit ribosomal RNA
Source: RNAcentral
UAGGGAAUCUUCGGCAAUGGACGAAAGUCUGACCGAGCAACGCCGCGUGAGUGAAGAAGGUUUUCGGACCGUAAAACUCUGUUGUUAGAGAAGAACAAGGACGUUAGUAACUGAACGUCCCCUGACGGUAUCUAACCAGAAAGCCACGGCUAACUACGUGCCAGCAGCCGCGGUAAUACGUUGGUGGCAAGCGUUGUUCGGAACUAUUGGGCGUAAAGCGAGCGCAGGCGGUUGCUUAAGUCUGAUGUGAAAGCCCCCGGCUCAACCGGGGAGAGUCAUUGGAAAAUGGGAGACUUGAGUGCAGAAGGGGAGUGUGGAAUUCCAUGUGUAGCGGUGAAAUGCGUAGAUAUAUGGAAGAACACCAGUGGCGAAGGCGGCACGCUGGUCUGUAACUGACGCUGAGGCACGAAAGCGUGGGGAGCAAACAGG